AUAUGGCCCGGCUGACCUUGGCUCGUGAACCCCGCCAGGUCGGAAACGAAGCAACGGCAGCGUAGAUCGCGGUGCAGCCGGGCCACCCUCU
RNAcentral lists this signal recognition particle RNA (91 nucleotides) under Deltaproteobacteria bacterium. RNAcentral's name for it is "signal recognition particle sRNA small type". It matches the Rfam family "Bacterial small signal recognition particle RNA". From Rfam's summary of the family: The signal recognition particle (SRP) is a universally conserved ribonucleoprotein involved in the co-translational targeting of proteins to membranes. Archaeal SRP consists of a 7S RNA and homologues of the eukaryotic SRP19 and SRP54 proteins. In most bacteria, the SRP consists of a 4.5S RNA and the Ffh protein (a homologue of the eukaryotic SRP54 protein). Lineage: Bacteria; Pseudomonadati; Myxococcota; Myxococcia. RNAcentral also lists the same sequence under 2 other names. The record is from RNAcentral.